Molecule: long non-coding RNA, 999 nt
Organism: Balaenoptera acutorostrata (minke whale)
Lineage: Eukaryota; Metazoa; Chordata; Mammalia; Artiodactyla; Balaenopteridae
Exons: 4
Source: RefSeq, a predicted model, not a curated record
AGCAUGAGCACAUGAUGGAGGGAAGGAGAGAAGACAGACCUGCUUUUAAAAAAAGUCCUAUCUAAAGCCAGACAUCCAGAAUUUGCAUUUUGAAGAUCAUGAGACAAAAACAGAAAACGUCAAAGCAACAGAAAACUAAUACAGGUGGAAAAGAUUACAUCUACCUUUUACUUGAAGAUACUUGGAGCGAAUUCGUGGGGAGAAUGUGGCCUGAGCAGUUCCUUGACGAACAGGCCAGCUGAAGAGCUGACCUUCUACAAUUUCCCUUCACCAUCAUCCUGAGAUCCCCCUGCUUCUCUGCUGUGCUGGAUCCCUUCUUUUCCUUGAAUGAUGUUUUACUUUUACUUGGUUUAUUCCCUUGUAUUAAUAGAGCACAUCUUCCAAGAGUUUCCUAGGAAAGGUACAUAGGGAGAUUUUUUUUUAAGGACCUCCAUGUCUGAAAAGACUUUUCUACCAUGUAUUUGACUGAUAGUUUGGCACAUAUAGGCACACCUGGUUUUUACUGUGCUUCACUUUAUUGUGCUUCGCAGAGACUGCAUUUUUUACAAAUGGAAGGUUGUGGCAAUCCUGCAUCGAGGAAGUCUAUUAGUGCCACUUUUUCCAACGGCAUUUGCUCACUUCACCUCUCUCUGUCACAUUUUGGUAAUUUUUACAAUAUUUCAAACUUUUUCACUAUUAUCAUAUUUGUUAUGGUGAUCUGUGAUCAGUGAUGCUUGCUGUUACUACUGCAAAAAGAUAACGAAUGGCUGAAGGCUCAGAUGAUGGUUAGCAUUUUUUAGCAGUAUUUUUUCAUUAAGGUAUGUACACUGUUUUUUAGACAUAAUGCUAUUGCACACAACAGACCACAAUAUAGUAUAAACAUAACUUUUAUAUGCACUAGGAAGCCAAAAAAUUCGUGCGAUUUGCUUUAUUGUGGUGGUCUAGAAUCAAGCCCACAGUAUCGCCCAGGGAUGCCAUAUAUAAGCCAAGCUUAUAGAAAUAAUUUUCCCACGGUAUUCU